GAUGAACGCUGGCGGCGUGCCUAAUACAUGCAAGUCGAGCGAACAGACGAGGGGCUUGCUCCUCUGACGUUAGCGGCGGACGGGUGAGUAACACGUGGAUAACCUACCUAUAAGACUGGGAUAACUUCGGGAAACCGGAGCUAAUAGGGGAGAAUAUAUUUAACCGCAUGGUUCAAUAGUGAAAGACGGUUUUGCUGUGACCUAUAGAUGUAUCCGCGCGGCAUUAGCUAGUUGGCAAGGUAACGGCGUACCAGGGCAACGAUGGGUAGCCGACGUGAGAGGGUGAUCGCCCGCACUGGAACUGAGACACGGUCCAGACUCCUACGGGAGGCAGCAGUAGGGAAUCUUCCGCAAUGGGCGAAAGCCUGACGCAGCAACGCCGAGUGAGUGAUGAAGGUCUUCGGAUCGUAAAACUCUGUUAUUAGGGAAGAACAAAUGUGUAAGUAACUAUGCACUUCUUGACGGUACCUAAUCAGAAAGCCACGGCUAACUACGUG
This 497-nucleotide ribosomal RNA is filed under the name uncultured bacterium. RNAcentral's name for it is "partial 16S ribosomal RNA". It matches the Rfam family "Bacterial small subunit ribosomal RNA", at positions 28 to 507 of the family's 1533-position model. The record is from RNAcentral.